AAUUAAAAAUUCCAUACAUUUUUACUGUUAAAAAUUAGCGUGGUAACAAAAUAAUCAGAUAGUUACACAUGGCAUGUCAUGGGUACCUCAUGUCGACAUACAUGGACCAAUUUUUAACAAAAAAAAGUGGAUGAAAUUUUUAAUA
MicroRNA precursor from Gossypium arboreum, 145 nucleotides. It matches the Rfam family "MIR7502 microRNA precursor family". The record is from Rfam. Lineage: Eukaryota; Viridiplantae; Streptophyta; Magnoliopsida; Malvales; Malvaceae.